GGAGUCGGCCGGGCUGUCGCUGCGCUUAUCGCGUGGAGGAAAGUCCGGGCUCCGCAGGGCAGGACGCCAGGUAACGCCUGGGCGGCGCGAGCCGACGGAAAGUGCCACAGAAAAGACACCGCCGAUGGGGCCGGUUCUUCCGGUCCACAGGUAAGGGUGAAAUGGUGCGGUAAGAGCGCACCGCGCGCCUGGCAACAGUGCGUGGCAGGGUAAACCCCGUCCGGAGCAAGGCCAAAUAGGGGUGCGAUGGUGUGGCCCGCACUGCACCCGGGUAGGCUGCUAGAGGCGCCUGGCGACAGGCGUCCCAGAGGAAUGACAGCCCUCGACAGAACCCGGCUUACAGGCCGACUCCCACU
This 356-nucleotide RNase P RNA is filed under the name Thioalkalivibrio paradoxus ARh 1. Its description in RNAcentral is "Bacterial RNase P class A". It matches the Rfam family "Bacterial RNase P class A". From Rfam's summary of the family: Ribonuclease P (RNase P) is a ubiquitous endoribonuclease, found in archaea, bacteria and eukarya as well as chloroplasts and mitochondria. Its best characterised activity is the generation of mature 5'-ends of tRNAs by cleaving the 5'-leader elements of precursor-tRNAs. Cellular RNase Ps are ribonucleoproteins. The record is from Rfam by way of RNAcentral. Lineage: Bacteria; Pseudomonadati; Pseudomonadota; Gammaproteobacteria; Chromatiales; Ectothiorhodospiraceae.